AAGACGGGGGGUGCUAGCGUUGCUCGGAAUCACUGGGCGUAAAGGGCGCGCAGGCGGCCGCGUGCGUCGGGCGUGAAAUCCCGGGGCUCAACCCCGGAACGGCGCCCGAUACGGCGUGGCUGGAGGCCGGAAGAGGAGGGCGGAAUUCCCGGUGUAGAGGUGAAAUUCGUAGAUAUCGGGAGGAACACCGGUGGCGAAGGCGGCUCUCUGGUCCGGUCCUGACGCUCAGGCGCGAAAGCGUGGGGAGCAAACAGGAUUAGAUACCCUGGUAGUCCACGCCCUAAACGAUGUGCGCUAGCCGUCGGGGGGUUUCCCCUCGGUGGCGCAGCCAACGCGUUGAGCGCACCGCCUGGGGAGUACGGCCGCAAGGCU
RNAcentral lists this ribosomal RNA (372 nucleotides) under uncultured Alphaproteobacteria bacterium. RNAcentral's name for it is "bacterial SSU rRNA". It matches the Rfam family "Bacterial small subunit ribosomal RNA", at positions 522 to 895 of the family's 1533-position model. Lineage: Bacteria; Pseudomonadati; Pseudomonadota; Alphaproteobacteria. The record is from RNAcentral.